AGAGUUUGAUCAUGGCUCAGGACGAACGCUGGCGGCGUGCUUAACACAUGCAAGUCGAACGGAAAGGCCCUUUCGGGGGUACUCGAGUGGCGAACGGGUGAGUAACACGUGGGUGAUCUGCCCUGCACUCUGGGAUAAGCCUGGGAAACUGGGUCUAAUACCGGAUAGGACCAUGGGAUGCAUGUUCUGUGGUGGAAAGCUUUUGCGGUGUGGGAUGGGCCCGCGGCCUAUCAGCUUGUUGGUGGGGUGAUGGCCUACCAAGGCGACGACGGGUAGCCGGCCUGAGAGGGUGUCCGGCCACACUGGGACUGAGAUACGGCCCAGACUCCUACGGGAGGCAGCAGUGGGGAAUAUUGCACAAUGGGCGCAAGCCUGAUGCAGCGACGCCGCGUGGGGGAUGACGGCCUUCGGGUUGUAAACCUCUUUCAGUAUCGGCGAAGCUCCGUGGUUUUCUGCGGGGUGACGGUAGGUACAGAAGAAGCACCGGCCAACUACGUGCCAGCAGCCGCGGUAAUACGUAGGGUGCGAGCGUUGUCCGGAAUUACUGGGCGUAAAGAGCUCGUAGGUGGUUUGUCGCGUUGUCCGUGAAAACUCACAGCUCAACUGUGGGCGUGCGGGCGAUACGGGCAGACUGGAGUACUGUAGGGGAGACUGGAAUUCCUGGUGUAGCGGUGGAAUGCGCAGAUAUCAGGAGGAACACCGGUGGCGAAGGCGGGUCUCUGGGCAGUAACUGACGCUGAGGAGCGAAAGCGUGGGGAGCGAACAGGAUUAGAUACCCUGGUAGUCCACGCCGUAAACGGUGGGUACUAGGUGUGGGUUUCCUUCCUUUAGGGAUCCGUGCCGUAGCUAACGCAUUAAGUACCCCGCCUGGGGAGUACGGCCGCAAGGCUAAAACUCAAAGGAAUUGACGG
This 911-nucleotide ribosomal RNA is filed under the name uncultured bacterium. RNAcentral describes it as "bacterial SSU rRNA". It matches the Rfam family "Bacterial small subunit ribosomal RNA", at positions 8 to 916 of the family's 1533-position model. The record is from RNAcentral.